Molecule: ribosomal RNA, 427 nt
Filed under: uncultured bacterium
Lineage: Bacteria
Description: bacterial SSU rRNA
Rfam family: Bacterial small subunit ribosomal RNA
Source: RNAcentral
UGGGGAAUUUUCCGCAAUGGGCGAAAGCCUGACGGAGCAAUGCCGCGUGAGUGAAGAAGGCCUUCGGGUUGUAAAGCUCUGUCCUAACCGAAGAGAGCGCUAGAGAGUAACUGCUCAAGCGAGGACGGUAGGUUAGGAGGAAGCCCCGGCUAACUACGUGCCAGCAGCCGCGGUAAAACGUAGGGGGCAAGCGUUGUCCGGAAUCACUGGGCGUAAAGGGCGCGCAGGCGGUAUGUUAAGUCUGAUGUGAAAUUUCGGGGCUCAACCCCGGACCUGCAUCAGAUACUGGCAGACUUGAGUACGGAAGAGGUAAGUGGAAUUCCUAGUGUAGCGGUGAAAUGCGUAGAUAUUAGGAAGAACACCAGUGGCGAAGGCGACUUACUGGGCCGUAACUGACGCUGAGGCGCGAAAGCGUGGGGAGCAAACA